UGGCACCAAAAAGCAGAAAUAUGACAGGAUUAGUGAGAAGAAGAUGCUUACACCUAUAGAGGUGCUUUGCAAAUCCUAUCCUUCAGAAUUCAUAUCAUAUUUUCAUUAUUGCCGAUCAUUACGGUUUGAUGACAAGCCAGAUUACUCAUACCUAAAGAGGCUAUUCCGUGACCUUUUCAUUAGAGAGGGUUAUCAAUUUGACUAUGUGUUUGAUUGGACUAUCUUG
RNAcentral lists this unclassified non-coding RNA (226 nucleotides) under Hevea brasiliensis (rubber tree). The record is from RNAcentral. Lineage: Eukaryota; Viridiplantae; Streptophyta; Magnoliopsida; Malpighiales; Euphorbiaceae.